This 1339-nucleotide ribosomal RNA is filed under the name Candidatus Collierbacteria bacterium CG09_land_8_20_14_0_10_46_12. RNAcentral describes it as "bacterial LSU rRNA". It matches the Rfam family "Bacterial large subunit ribosomal RNA", at positions 1812 to 2472 of the family's 2925-position model. Lineage: Bacteria; Candidatus Collieribacteriota. The record is from RNAcentral.
AACACAGGUCUGUGCGAAGGCGUAAGCCGACGUAUACGGGCUGAGGCCUGCCCAGUGCCAGAAGGUUAACUGAGAGGAUAACCCCGACUUGUUCGGGCUAGUCUUUGAUUGAAGCCCUGGUGAACGGCAGCGGUAACUAUGAACAAAAUUGUAGUUAUAAAAGUCGACUAUUUGCUGGAAUCCCCGUACCGCACAAGCGGUUGUAGUAUCUGUCGCUACUAUGGUAAAUUAAUAUCAUAGUGAAAAUGCGUACAGUGCGGAAAAUCAGCAGGAAAGACUUGACUCAUAGGGAUGAUGCAAUGGGAUAUUUCCUCGCCGGAUUUACAGAAGGUGAAGGGAGUUUCAAUGUUUCGCUUCGUAAAAAAGAUGACUAUGCACUUAAAUGGCAAGUAGUGAUGAGUUUUAAUGUAUCUCAAAAAGAUCCAGCAUUACUCAAAUUACUUCAAACCACUUUAGACUGUGGGAUCAUCAAAGUACGCAAGCGAGAUGGACUCUUUUCAUACGAUGUAACCAAUCCGACGGACGUAAUAUUUAAAGUAAUUCCUUUUUUCCAAAAAUAUCCGCUAGUCUCAAAAACUAAGAAAAGCAAUUUUCAUAUUUUUUGUCUCAUAGCCAAAAUCAUGGAGAAUGGGGGUCACAGAAAGAUUACAGGUUUACAUAAAAUCGUUAGGUUGAGAGAAAAGCUCAACCCAGGGAUCAGUCGUAAACGAAAAUAUAACAUGAGCGAUGUCAUCAAAUAAUUUAAGAAUCCUCAGAGACUAUAUGUCGACGACUCACAAGGUGGGUCAUGAUAUAGUCCGAUCUCAUGAGCGAUCAUGAGCUAACACAAAUGAACUGUUCUAUGGUAGCGAAAUUCCUUGUCGGGCAAGUUCCGACCUGCACGAAUGGCGUAACAACUUUGAAACUGUCUUGAGGAGGGACUCGGCGAAAUUGAAAUGGCUGUGAAGAUGCGGCCUACUGACAACAGGACAAAAAGACCCCGUGGAGCUUUACUGUACCUUGACACUGAAUUUUAUGUUUUGACUGUGUAGCAUAGGUGGGAGGCGCAAGCCGACAAGUGUAAUACCACUCUUUGAAACGUGAAAUUCUUACUUAUCUCGCUGGAUCGCGAGAGAGGACACUGUCUGGGAGGCAGUUUAACUGGGGAGGUUGCUUGCUAAAGAGUACCGCAAGCGCGCAAUGGUAUCCUAAUUCCGGAUGGAAAUCGGAAUGAUAGUGCAAGGGCAUAAGGAUGCCUGACUGUGAGACAUACUGGUCAAGCAGAGACGAAAGUCGGACCUAGUGAUCCUCGUGUACUUCGUGGGAGGUACCGGGCUUAUCGGAUAAAAGCUACCCCGGG